This 253-nucleotide ribosomal RNA is filed under the name uncultured bacterium. Its description in RNAcentral is "partial 16S ribosomal RNA". It matches the Rfam family "Bacterial small subunit ribosomal RNA", at positions 524 to 776 of the family's 1533-position model. The record is from RNAcentral.
UACGUAGGGGGCAAGCGUUGUCCGGAUUUAUUGGGCGUAAAGAGCUCGUAGGCGGCUUGUUGCGUCGUCCGUGAAAACCUGUGGCUCAACUACAGGCUUGCGGUCGAUACGGGCGGGCUGGAGUUCGGUAGGGGAGACUGGAAUUCCUGGUGUAGCGGUGAAAUGCGCAGAUAUCAGGAGGAACACCGGUGGCGAAGGCGGGUCUCUGGGCCGAUACUGACGCUGAGACGCGAAAGCGUGGGGAGCGAACAGG